This 512-nucleotide long non-coding RNA is filed under the name Drosophila guanche. Lineage: Eukaryota; Metazoa; Arthropoda; Insecta; Diptera; Drosophilidae. The record is from RNAcentral.
AGUAGAUUGUCAAUUCAGAGGAAGCGAAACGUCACCGCAGAAUGUGCGUCGCGAAGUCCCAGUCCUCUGCCAACGUCGCAGCUACAAGCAUUAGUGCGUGUAGAACACGCAGCUAGAAGUCCCAGCUACAUUUGUAUAAGUGCGUGUAGAGCACGCAGCCAGAAGUCCCAGCUACAUUUGUAUAAGUGCGUGUAGCCAAUGAUUUUUUAGCGCUCCAAACCGGUUCUGGCUUGAUUCACACGGACACUGCAAGUAAUGUGUUGGUUGUUGGUGCUCUGACUUUCUGAAGUGCGAUGGAACGAAAAUUCGUUUUGAUGAUUUGAUUUUGUUUUCGGGGCUUGGCGUAUGAAACUGACCUACCGCAACAUGUGCAGAAUGAGGGGUGGGGAUUGGUGGCCGGACCUUUGGGGGUUGGAAAAAAUAAAUAUACCAAUAAAAGUUGUUAUUGUAUUUGAAUGCUGUAAUUGUUUUAAAUGCAGAUUUUAUACUGCUUUAUUCAAAAUUGUAUGCAU